GGUUGCGAUCAUACCAUCACUAAUGCACCGGAUCCCAUCAGAACUCCGCAGUUAAGCGUUCUUGGGCGAGAGUAGUACUAGGAUGGGUGACCCCCUGGGAAGUCCUCGUGUUGCAACCC
RNAcentral lists this ribosomal RNA (119 nucleotides) under Helianthus annuus (common sunflower). The record is from RNAcentral. Lineage: Eukaryota; Viridiplantae; Streptophyta; Magnoliopsida; Asterales; Asteraceae.